Molecule: long non-coding RNA, 406 nt
Organism: Oncorhynchus keta (chum salmon)
Lineage: Eukaryota; Metazoa; Chordata; Actinopteri; Salmoniformes; Salmonidae
Exons: 3
Source: RefSeq, a predicted model, not a curated record
GCCCAAACACAGAAACAGACAAACUAGACAUCCAACAUAGAAUGCCCACUCAGAUCACACCCUGACCAAACAAAACAUAGAAACAUACAAAGCAAACUAUGGUCAGGGUGUGACAGCUAAAGACCUAAAUGGUAUCUAUGCGUUCAUCUGACUCUUAGACAGGCAAUGGUUCUGGACUGAUGGCUCCAAAUUUGAUUACCACAAGUGGAAUAAAGGAGAGCCCAAUAACUAUCAAGGUGCCGUUGAUUCAUGCAUUUUGAUGAACUGGGCAGAUGAAAAAGGCUGGAAUGAUUCAGCUGGUAGAGACAAUGUCUUUCCCUCUGUGUGCCCCCUAGAACCUUUUUUCAAAUAAAUGUUCUGUUUACUGUUCAAACAAGUCAUCUGGUUAUGAGACGAUAUGUGCAAG